RNAcentral lists this ribosomal RNA (550 nucleotides) under uncultured bacterium. Its description in RNAcentral is "bacterial SSU rRNA". It matches the Rfam family "Bacterial small subunit ribosomal RNA", at positions 355 to 896 of the family's 1533-position model. The record is from RNAcentral.
UGGGGAAUCUUGGACAAUGGGCGCAAGCCUGAUCCAGCGAUGCCGCGUGGGUGAAGACGGCCUGCGGGUUGUAAAGCCCUUUCGGUGGGGAAGAAAGGCGGGGUAUGAACAGUGCCCGGCUGUGACGUUACCCACAGAAGAAGCACCGGCUAACUCCGUGCCAGCAGCCGCGGUAAUACGGAGGGUGCGAGCGUUAAUCGAAAUUACUGGGCGUAAAGCGCGCGUAGGCGGUGGGCUAAGUCCGCUGUGAAAGCCCUGGGCUUAACCUGGGAAUGGCAGUGGAGACUGGCGCACUGGAGUGCGAGAGAGGAGAGUGGAAUUCCUGGUGUAGCGGUGAAAUGCGUAGAUAUCAGGAGGAACACCGGUGGCGAAGGCGGCUUCCUGGACCAAUACUGACGCUGAGGCGCGAAGGCGUGGGGAGCAAACAGGAUUAGAUACCCUGGUAGUCCACGCAGUAAACGGUGAACACUAGGUGUAGCGGGUAUUGACCCCUGCUGUGCCGAAGCUAACGCAUUAAGUGUUCCGCCUGGGAAGUACGGCCGCAAGGUUA